RNAcentral lists this ribosomal RNA (898 nucleotides) under Salmonella enterica. RNAcentral's name for it is "partial 23S ribosomal RNA". It matches the Rfam family "Bacterial large subunit ribosomal RNA", at positions 1260 to 2141 of the family's 2925-position model. The record is from RNAcentral. Lineage: Bacteria; Pseudomonadati; Pseudomonadota; Gammaproteobacteria; Enterobacterales; Enterobacteriaceae. RNAcentral also lists the same sequence under 3 other names.
GUCGUGAGGCAUGCUGGAGGUAUCAGAAGUGCGAAUGCUGACAUAAGUAACGAUAAAGCGGGUGAAAAGCCCGCUCGCCGGAAGACCAAGGGUUCCUGUCCAACGUUAAUCGGGGCAGGGUGAGUCGACCCCUAAGGCGAGGCCGAAAGGCGUAGUCGAUGGGAAACGGGUUAAUAUUCCCGUACUUGGUGUUACUGCGAAGGGGGGACGGAGAAGGCUAUGUUGGCCGGGCGACGGUUGUCCCGGUUUAAGCGUGUAGGUGUGUGUUCCAGGUAAAUCCGGUUCACUUUAACACUGAGGCGUGACGACGAGGCACUACGGUGCUGAAGCAACAAAUGCCCUGCUUCCAGGAAAAGCCUCUAAGCAUCAGGUAACAUCAAAUCGUACCCCAAACCGACACAGGUGGUCAGGUAGAGAAUACCAAGGCGCUUGAGAGAACUCGGGUGAAGGAACUAGGCAAAAUGGUGCCGUAACUUCGGGAGAAGGCACGCUGACACGUAGGUGAAGUGAUUUACUCAUGGAGCUGAAGUCAGUCGAAGAUACCAGCUGGCUGCAACUGUUUAUUAAAAACACAGCACUGUGCAAACACGAAAGUGGACGUAUACGGUGUGACGCCUGCCCGGUGCCGGAAGGUUAAUUGAUGGGGUCAGCGCAAGCGAAGCUCCUGAUCGAAGCCCCGGUAAACGGCGGCCGUAACUAUAACGGUCCUAAGGUAGCGAAAUUCCUUGUCGGGUAAGUUCCGACCUGCACGAAUGGCGUAAUGAUGGCCAGGCUGUCUCCACCCGAGACUCAGUGAAAUUGAACUCGCUGUGAAGAUGCAGUGUACCCGCGGCAAGACGGAAAGACCCCGUGAACCUUUACUAUAGCUUGACACUGAACAUUGAGCCUUGAUGUGUAG